Molecule: ribosomal RNA, 586 nt
Filed under: uncultured bacterium
Lineage: Bacteria
Description: partial 16S ribosomal RNA
Rfam family: Bacterial small subunit ribosomal RNA
Source: RNAcentral
UGGGGAAUUUUGGACAAUGGGCGAAAGCCUGAUCCAGCAAUGCCGCGUGUGUGAAGAAGGCCUUCGGGUUGUAAAGCACUUUUGUCCGGAAAGAAAUCCUUGGCUCUAAUACAGUCGGGGGAUGACGGUACCGGAAGAAUAAGCACCGGCUAACUACGUGCCAGCAGCCGCGGUAAUACGUAGGGUGCAAGCGUUAAUCGGAAUUACUGGGCGUAAAGCGUGCGCAGGCGGUUUGCUAAGACCGAUGUGAAAUCCCCGGGCUCAACCUGGGAACUGCAUUGGUGACUGGCAGGCUAGAGUAUGGCAGAGGGGGGUAGAAUUCCACGUGUAGCAGUGAAAUGCGUAGAGAUGUGGAGGAAUACCGAUGGCGAAGGCAGCCCCCUGGGCCAAUACUGACGCUCAUGCACGAAAGCGUGGGGAGCAAACAGGAUUAGAUACCCCGGUAGUCCACGCCCUAAACGAUGUCAACUAGUUGUUGGGGGAUUCAUUUCCUUAGUAACGUAGCUAACGCGUGAAGUUGACCGCCUGGGGAGUACGGUCGCAAGAUUAAAACUCAAAUGAAUUGACGGGGUCAUAGCUGUUUCCU